Corapipo altera (White-ruffed manakin) is the source of this 1391-nucleotide long non-coding RNA. RefSeq lists it as uncharacterized. The record is from RefSeq and is a predicted model, not a curated record. The transcript is spliced from 3 exons. Lineage: Eukaryota; Metazoa; Chordata; Aves; Passeriformes; Pipridae.
AGCCUCCUCCACAGACCACAACAGUACAGAAUGUCCCUUCACAGCUACGUUAGACUUUGGCUGUGACAUCAACAUUAGUUUAUGCCAUCAGCACUUCAUUUGAUGAAAAUUUCCUCUGCAAACUGCUUACCAGAGGCUUCAAAGGCUUUUGCAUUUCCCAGAGGAGCUCCAUUCUCUAUUAUUACUCUUCAAGAACAAAGAGAAACUGCAGUUUUCAGUGUCCUCUGAGUUAGUGUACCCCUGCUCUUGCUUGUGGGGGAAGAUGAAGAAUAGGAACUGCCUGCCUGGGCAAGCUGUGUCCACCAAACCCUGGCAAAGGUUUCCAGCCAUGGCUCAGUGUCUGUAAUCAGGCAAACCUUAGGUAACACUAUUAUCAAAACGGGGGCAAACAAGGUUAAUUAUAAAGGCCUACUUUUCUAAGAAAAGUAGCUUGGCAUAAAAGGUAGAGUGUUUCUUUCUCCUGAUAGUGUGUGCCAGGAGGGGAAAACAACAGCAACUGAAGGCUCAGGCAGAGCUGCCUUAGUGUGUUCCAGUGCUUGGCUCCUGAUUAUGCUGUGGUGAAAUCUGGAUCCAGUCUUCAAAAAUAAAAUCUUUGCUCUUAUAUACAACAAAAGAGAUGAUGUAUACCAACAUUUGCCCUACAGUGGUAUUUUUGGAGUGUUAUUUUUAUGUUCUGACUCAAAUGUUUGGGAAUGUUGUAAGGCAAGCAUUGCUCUGUCUUAGAUGUUGGUGGAGGGUGCAAAUGUAGCAGCCACAGCACCUCUGACCUCAGCUGCCACUCACUGUGUGUCUCAAUAGAGAUGUUUGGAGAGGAAGAACUUGUUUCAGUCUGAGCUGAAAGAGAAUUUUCUAUCUUCUGUAUUAGUGUGCCUUUAAUAAAAGAGACAUUGAGACAUUACAGUGUGACCUAAAGAAAGACAAGAUACAGGUGCUGCUGAUUAAUCUCACUGUCAUAGAGGGGUUGUUCUGCUAAUAACGAAAAGGACGUUAUGUUCUCCUGCAAUAUUCUGUCCUUUAUAACCUUCAGAACAAAAUAGCUACAUACAAAAAUCAGAAACUGUGUGGUUUACUCAUAUCCCCUCAGCAUUUAUAUUUCUCAAAGGGAAGGCAGAGGAUGAUAACUGAGAAUAUUGCCUGAUAAAGCAGCUUGGUUAACGGUCUGUGGUAUUAUACUCUUUGUGGUUAUCGCCAGAUUGCAAAAAGCAAUAUCUAAUCUUGACUGGAAAAACAAGAAAGCCAGAGAAAAAAUUGUGUUGUUUUCUGAGAUGAAACUAUUUCAGUCACCCUUGGAGGCUAAAAAGUUAACAUUUCCUUGAACAGCUACAAAUAUUUGUGAAUUGCCCCCAAAUGUACUAAGCUGGGGAAUUUUAUCAGGCCUAAUAACUUUCACA